This 5533-nucleotide long non-coding RNA is filed under the name Olea europaea subsp. europaea. Lineage: Eukaryota; Viridiplantae; Streptophyta; Magnoliopsida; Lamiales; Oleaceae. The record is from RNAcentral.
AAUAGAACUGCUCACUGAAGAAAGCAGCUUGCUCCACAGCGGGUUCCUACUACUCUUGGGUAAGACGGAUAUCAUGAAUACCUUCCAGGUGGCAUAAUUAUUACACGUUGCUCAUUUUCGUUUGGGUAAUAGUUAAAAAUGGUGGUGCAUGAAGCACCUGUCGUAAAAUGCAAUUCAUUUGAAACCGUGAAAUGGGAGGUGACCCUAAAUCUUAAACAUAAAUCUAUUGUCAUUAUUUAUAUAUGGCAUUAGAUACUAUUAAUAAUUUGUAACUAUUCUUCUCCUCUAUUUGUACACCGUCACUCAUCUCUCAAUUCAUGAUAUAUGAAACCAUCAAGGAGCGUAGCUCAUGGAAAUUGGAGCUCCAUUUUAACAUAUGCCUUGCAUUUACUUCAAGACUAUGGCAAAAACCCAUUUUGCUCCCCUCUUUUGAUGUGAAACCAAGUGGGUUUUAAUUUGUCAGUUCUCACAUACAAAAGGGCAUCAUGAGUAAACUCUGCCUCUUUUCCUCCUUUAUGAGUUUCCAAGAUUGUGCUAGGUGCUUUUAAGUGAAGGAGAAGGCUUAUCGAGAAAAUUCAGGGAAAUUAAAAAAAUGGAAAAACCUUCAGAGAGAGGGAGGUAAUGCAUGGAUGGUUGGCAGACUUAAACAAUUAUAAAAAAUUAUGCCCUCUUAAAAGGCAGGGUGUUCCAGAAGUAAGAGGAAAAAGUAAAAACUUGUAUUAAUUCUUUGGCCGACUGGUAUUGGACGGUUUUGACUUUUUGGUGACCUGUAUGGAUAUGAAUAUAACUUGGAUGGAAAGGUGGCUGGGUCUUGAUCCUAGCGUUGGAUCGGCCAACUCUGGUAGCAUUUGCUACAAGUUGAUGUUUGCAAAAGUUUUCUUCCUCCAGAAGGAGCAGGCUGGGAAGUAUUGCCCUAAGAGGACUUCAUAUGUCUACAGGGGCCAUAAUAGGUGCAGGCCCUGUCCAAUCAUAUUCGUAUAUUUUUAGUACUCAGCACAAUAUGUUAAAGAAGCGUGACAUGCUAGAUUUGGGUUGGGCAUGUAUCUUUUAGAAGCUAAAAUAUGUGGUGACUAUGAGUAUUUCACUGUCUUCAAUCAGAAAUGUGUUUCCCUUGUUUUAGUUUCGCUAGAUAUUUGGCACGAUCCCACCUUUGCGAUUGGGAUUGAAUUUUUGGUUUUUAAGUAUUUGGGUUCUACUUCAUGCUUUAUAUCCAAUGUUGAAUGAUUUUCCGUGAGUGACAUUGCAAUCUGCCAGCAAAUAUAUUUCAAGGUGUCACAUAAUAUCACAUUCUCGAGAUAUGCAUAAAUAUGACCAUCAAAGCUUGAUGUCCUUAUGUUGAUUAUUUCCUAUAUUAUUACAUAUAAUUUUAUUUGAUAUAUUUUUGUAGUUAAUGUUUUUUCUCAACUUUUUGCAGGUUACGGCUUCUGCUUGGUUGAAUGACCUGAGGAAUCAGAUUGAACGCACCAGGGUUCUGAGCACAGUUUAUCGCUCUGCUUCAGCUUUGGGUUCUCGACUUCCAUCCAUGGCCAGUGCUAAAGCCAAAGUUGCUGGUGCUGGUGCAAUAUUACGUCCAGUUUCCAGCGGUACUCAGGUAUGUAUAUUGCGGUCAUGCAAUCAGUUCUGCUUUGGAUUGUUGUGGCAAGGGAAAAUAGCAGCUGAGGUGCCCCAACCUUUGAUGUGUUGCACUUUGGUCUGUAACCUCUAAUAUGAAGCAUUUUUGUCCCAAGGUUUCAUUUUAGUUUUAGUAGCACAUGGUCCUCAGGUCGACAACUUUACCCAUAUUUUUAGUCAACAAGUCAAAAUUUUAUUAAAAAAGACGAUUUCACCCUUAUUUUAUGUAGACAAAAAAUGAAAUAAAUAACCAAAGAAACAAUUAGGAAUAAAAGAGAAGGCAAAGGAAAAAUGGGAAAAAAACAAAGAGAACAAUUUGGGUUCUCUUCUCCAGUCGGUCACCCCACCACCAUACCACCCUCCUCUAAUCUCCAUUUGCCACCAGUGACCAGCCAACCAUACUUGUAGAGACAUAAACCAGCUGCAACCAACAACCUUCAAAACUGAACCCUCAGAACCCCCAAGUCUAGUCUGUAUUCAACCACCCAAAGAAAUAAAACUGCGAGAGAGAUUGUUCAAUAUGUUUAUAGCAACACAGAAAAAAAAAUGCUAGUUUAAGCAUGUCUCCAUAAAUUUUAGGUAAAAAUUGUACUUGUGAAUUUUUUCUUUCUUUCUCCUUGUCUCUGUUAAAUGAAAAAUGAAGGAAUACUCUAGUAACAUUCAUUUUAAUUUUAUACUAAAUUUCUUGUACGGUCUAAUCCGGUUCGCCAAACACACCCUUGACGGUUUUGCUUUAUGCACUAGAAGUACAUCUCUGAUUGACACUGUGAUAUGGGUUUGAGAAUAUGACCCUAGAGGCUGUCCAUUUUGCCUUCCCUAUCAGUACCACUAACAAAAUACUGGGAGCUUCAUAAUGUGAGGGGUGGUAUUACCUUUAACCAUAUGUGCCUAUGUAUACUUUUUGAUCUUUAUAAUUCCAGAUGUAUUUAGUUCUAUUAUAUAGGACUGAUGUUGUUGUGUUAACUAGGUUGUUAUGAAGAGAGCACAAAGCAUGGCUCAGGCAGCUUGGUCACGCCCUUACCUACGCUCAUGGUCAUGCAUAGGUCCACGUCGUCGAUCCUCAAUUGCUCAGAUAAAUUAUAAUGAAGGAGAAGACUCAUCAGGAUCUUCUUCAACUCAAAGAGAAACUUCGGAGCCUUUUCUCACGACCACUGAAGAGACAAGAACGGCUAUUGAAAAUAUGGAACUUCCUGUAUCUUCUUCUGAUGGAAUGGUUGAGAGUUCAGACAACUUUAUAGAUGAGGUUGGUGUCUCAGAUAGUAUGGCUACUAAGGAUGAUGAUGACGAGGUUGCGUAUGAUGUAAGGCAUGAAGAUCACACAAUGGAAAUAGAGUUGUGGGAACAACUCGAGCUCAAGCUUAAUGAGCAAGCUGAUAGUGGUGAAGCCGAUGUGGCCAAGGAAAUUAGGGAAGAAGAAGAAGCAGCCAUUGCAGAAGUAAGUGACAGCCAGACCCAAAGCUCUAUCCCAGAUGCCAAGGAGGUGCAUAGAUUUUUCCCUCCGGGAAAGAUAAUGCAUAUUGUGACACUAACAUCCGACGAAGUGGGCCGUGAGAGUGAUAGCAGUAUUUCCAAUGACGGGGACCAAAGCCAGCCGGAGGAAGAGGCGAAGGUUGGAAUUUUUCUCACUCCCAGGUCAUUGUAUAGUAAAUUAAGGCUAUCGCAUACCAUGAUAAACGACCAUUUUAUGCCGGCUUAUAGAAGACGAAUUGAAAAGCUGAUUAAAGAACUUGAGAAUGAAGUGACUUCUGAUACACACAAUUGUAGCUGAGAAAUUGAACAGGAAGUGCUGUAAACUGUUGGUAGUGAAUUUUGGUCGCAUCUUAAGUGUUAGCAUCAAGAGGACUACACAUAUCCUUAAAGGUGACGUCUUUAACCACAAUUCUUUGUUCUGAAAAUGAUUUUGACAUGUGCAUAGGCUUAAAGAGUUUUCAUUUCCAUUGAUAGUGAGAGUCCCUUUCGCAAUCAUGAAUUCUAUAUUACAUCAUUAAAAGCAUUAUUUUCUUUGGUCCAUCGUCUAUUAUAAAUACACCAAUCACCAUAUGAAUGAGAAAAUGUUGCCUAACUUAUUUAACAAUUUUAAUGCCCACUUGACUCUUUGCACCACUUUGAAUCUCUAAAUCAUUUCAUUUAAUUCUUAAUUUGCUUUGAAAAGACAUUCUCUUUUUCUUGGCCACCCAUAAUUUGCACGUAAUGAUCCUACAAUCGCUAGUGUGUACGCACGAAUAUAUUCAAGUUUAUACACGAGGACGAGGAAGGUAAACGUGAAAGAAUGUGUUACAAGAGACGCAUAAGAAGUCGACUAGAAGUUCGUACACCUCCAAAUUUGUUUCUUGAUUCUAUUUUGAUCUUAUUCGCAAAAGACCAACAAUAAGAUUCAUUCUAGUUUAUCAAAAUCCAAGAAAAAUUUAAAAUGGAUAUGAAGUAGAAGAGGCAAAAGUCGGAGCAAAAAUGGCCUUUGAUUUGUCCAUGCAUUUAUUUCUUAGAAUGGGCAUGCAAAGUCUACCAUAGUUUGGGGCAAAAUUAAAUGAGGUAGAUAUAAAUUAAUGAGAAUGUGAAAGAAACCUAACAUUGCAUCAAACGAUUUCUUCUUUGCAUAAUAAAAAAGAAUGAUUUUCUUUCUUUUUUUUUUAUUAUUAUUUUAGUGUAAAAAAUGAAUAAAAGUUUUUAGUUUCACAUUUGGAUAGUCCUGAAAUCUAGCUGGAAAAUGAAAAUAACACGUCUGAGUGGAACACGUGGCAACAAACCAUUGAUUGAUACGGCAUAAAGAAAGCAACAUAAUCCUUCUUCUUUAUAUACGCAGAUAACACGGAGUCGACGAAUAACAGUAAUAUACAAAUUACUUCAUACCAGCGACUGUUUACGUGUACUCUACCUCCAUUAAUCGAUCUCUCUUUUUAAAAUUUAUUUGAUUUGAUUUGAUUGAUUCACAUUCAUAUUCAAAAAUCUCUCUAUACCAAAUCAUCGUAUCCAGUUUUCUGAAAUGUCUUUCAUGCACACGUUCUUCGUUCCUGAGGAAGCCAAGGUGGGCGACUGGGAGAAGGAAAGAUAAGAAAACCCAAAUUAAACAGGAUUUACUUGUAGAUAUCCCUCUUGAUCAGGUAAUUUCUUGGCAGAAUUCUGUUUUUUAUUUCAUGAAAAACCCAUGUUUAGAUUCAUCAUGUUUGUGUGAAUUUGUGGUUUUUCAGGCAUGUCGACGAGUGUAUUCGGUGAUUCGAUGGUGAAAAUUACAGGACAAAAUGAGCUUGAUUUUGUCGAAUGCGAUUGCUGUGGAUUGACAGAGGAAUGCACCCUGUCCUACAUAGAGACAGUACGCGAGCGUUAUAAGGGAAAAUGGAUUUGUGGGCUCUGUUCCGAGGCCGUAAACGAUGAAGUUAAGCAAAAAUCAAUAAGCCCAGAAGAGGCCAUGGCUCGCCAUUUCAGCUUCUGCUACAAAUUUAGGUUGGCUGGGCCACCGCCGGACCCAACCCGGCAUUUGAUCACCGCCAUGAGACAGGUUUUAAGAAAAAGCUUAGACAGUCCCAAGUUCAUAAGGUCGAUGCCAAGUAGUCCCACGAAGAACAGGGGAGAUAUUAGCAUGGGGCUUACUCGAUCGGAGAGCUGUAUUCCGAGUCUGUCUGAAUCGGUUUGUUGUGGAAUUGAUGAAGAUUGUGAAUAACCAGUAAAUUCAAAGUUUCACUGUGUAUAAACAAGAAACCAAUGAAGUUUAACUCAAAAAGUGCUUAAUUCAGAUGUAUCAAUAUCAUCAAUCAUGUUAAGAAAUGAAAAUGGAAAUAAAAAUUACUUGCCUAUAAUUUGUGUCUGGUGUUUUCUUUCAAUUAUGUGGUUAACAAUAAUUGAGAUUCAUAUUCAGAUUUUAUAAUGAUAGGCUAUUGUCAUGUCUGUAUCUUGACGCGAAUCGAAUUGAAUACAAGCAAGCAAUUUG